AUGACAGAAGAAUGGAGACGGAGUAUAUUAGUACCAAUCUUCAAGAACAAGGGAGAUGUUCAGAGUUGUACUAAUUACCGUGGAAUUAAGCUGAUGAGCCAUACAAUGAAGCUAUGGGAGAGAGUCAUUGAGCACCGCUUAAGAAGAAUGACAAGCGUGACCAAAAAUCAGUUUGGUUUCAUGCCUGGGAGGUCAACCAUGGAAGCCAUUUUCUUAGUACGACAACUUAUGGAGAGAUAUAGGGAGCAUAAGAAGGACUUGCAUAUGGUGUUCAUUGACUUGGAGAAGGCCUAUGAUAAGAUACCGCGGAAUGUCAUGUGGUGGGCCUUGGAGAAACACAAAGUCCCAGCAAAGUACAUUACCCUCAUCAAGGACAUGUACAAUAAUGUUGUGACAAGUGUUCGAACAAGUGAUGUCGACACCGAUGACUUCCCGAUUAAGAUAGGACUGCAUUAG
RNAcentral lists this ribosomal RNA (456 nucleotides) under Triticum aestivum (bread wheat). Its description in RNAcentral is "partial small subunit ribosomal RNA". Lineage: Eukaryota; Viridiplantae; Streptophyta; Magnoliopsida; Poales; Poaceae. The record is from RNAcentral.